Molecule: ribosomal RNA, 468 nt
Filed under: uncultured bacterium
Lineage: Bacteria
Description: partial 16S ribosomal RNA
Rfam family: Bacterial small subunit ribosomal RNA
Source: RNAcentral
GACGAACGCUGGCGGCGUGCUUAACACAUGCGAGUCGAACGGAAAGGCCCUGCUUUUGUGGGGUGCUCGAGUGGCAAACGGGUGAGUAACACGUGAGUAACCUGCCCUUGACUUUGGGAUAACUUCAGGAAACUGGGGCUAAUACCGGAUAGGAGCUCCUGCUGCAUGGUGGGGGUUGGAAAGUUUCGGCGGUUGGGGAUGGACUCGCGGCUUAUCAGCUUGUUGGUGGGGUAGUGGCUUACCAAGGCUUUGACGGGUAGCCGGCCUGAGAGGGUGACCGGCCACAUUGGGACUGAGAUACGGCCCAGACUCCUACGGGAGGCAGCAGUGGGGAAUAUUGCACAAUGGGCGGAAGCCUGAUGCAGCAACGCCGCGUGCGGGAUGACGGCCUUCGGGUUGUAAACCGCUUUCGCCUGUGACGAAGCGUGAGUGACGGUAAUGGGUAAAGAAGCACCGGCUAACUACGUG